AUGGUGGCAAAGAAAAACCUUUUCUGCUUUGGAUCCUUCGCGAUAAAAGAUGGGCCAGAGAUUCGUUUCUGGGAGGACAACAGGCUAGGCAAUGCCAGCCUCCGAGAACAAUAUCUAGCUUUGUACCGCAUUGUUCGUGAUAAGCAUGAUACUCUAGUGCAGGUGCUUAGUUCAUUCCCGCCGAAUAUUUCUUUUAGGCGGGAUUUGAUUGGCCCUCGUCUUAUGUCAUGGCAAAAUCUAUUAUCUCAAUUGGAGUCGAUUAACCUGACACAUGGACGGGACGUGUUUCGCUGGAACCUCACUACAUCUGGGUCCUUCACAGUUGACUCUAUAUACCAUGCGCUCACGCAUUCAGAGGUCCCAGUGGAUAAUAACAAGAAAAUUUGGACGAUGAAAAUUCCACUAAAAGUUAAAAUCUUCAUGUGGUAUCUUCGAAGAGGAGUUGUGCUAACCACAGACAAUCUUCCCAUCGCAAUUGGCACGAAAGUAAGAAGUGUAGUUUUCAUACUCAUGAGAGACAAUCAAACACCUCUUUUUUCAAUGCAAGUUUGCGUGUUCAGCAUGGUCAGUCAUCCAAAUAGCGUCCAGUUUAUAUCCGCCCACAAGUGUUGCUAA
Molecule: ribosomal RNA, 615 nt
Filed under: Triticum aestivum (bread wheat)
Lineage: Eukaryota; Viridiplantae; Streptophyta; Magnoliopsida; Poales; Poaceae
Description: partial small subunit ribosomal RNA
Source: RNAcentral